GAACGCUGGCGGCAGGCUUAACACAUGCAAGUCGAACGAUGAAGUCUAGCUUGCUAGACGGAUUAGUGGCGAACGGGUGAGUAAUGCUUAGGAAUCUGCCUAUUAGUGGGGGAUAACGUAGGGAAACUUACGCUAAUACCGCAUACGACCUACGGGUGAAAGGGGGCGUUUAGCUCUCGCUAAUAGAUGAGCCUAAGUCGGAUUAGCUAGUUGGUGGGGUAAAGGCCUACCAAGGCGACGAUCUGUAGCUGGUCUGAGAGGAUGAUCAGCCACACUGGGACUGAGACACGGCCCAGACUCCUACGGGAGGCAGCAGUGGGGAAUAUUGGACAAUGGGCGAAAGCCUGAUCCAGCCAUGCCGCGUGUGUGAAGAAGGCCUUUUGGUUGUAAAGCACUUUAAGUGGGGAGGAAAAGCUUGUGGUUAAUACCCAUAAGCCCUGACGUUACCCACAGAAUAAGCACCGGCUAACUCUGUGCCAGCAGCCGCGGUAAUACAGAGGGUGCAAGCGUUAAUCGGAAUUACUGGGCGUAAAGCGCGCGUAGGUGGUUAUUUAAGUCAGAUGUGAAAGCCCCGGGCUUAACCUGGGAACUGCAUCUGAUACUGGAUAACUAGAGUAGGUGAGAGGGGAGUAGAAUUCCAGGUGUAGCGGUGAAAUGCGUAGAGAUCUGGAGGAAUACCGAUGGCGAAGGCAGCUCCCUGGCAUCAUACUGACACUGAGGUGCGAAAGCGUGGGUAGCAAACAGGAUUAGAUACCCUGGUAGUCCACGCCGUAAACGAUGUCUACCAGUCGUUGGGUCUUUUAAAGAUUUAGUGACGCAGUUAACGCAAUAAGUAGACCGCCUGGGGAGUACGGCCGCAAGGGUUA
This 866-nucleotide ribosomal RNA is filed under the name uncultured bacterium. RNAcentral's name for it is "bacterial SSU rRNA". It matches the Rfam family "Bacterial small subunit ribosomal RNA", at positions 31 to 897 of the family's 1533-position model. The record is from RNAcentral.